Molecule: non-coding RNA, 117 nt
Filed under: Gorilla gorilla gorilla (western lowland gorilla)
Lineage: Eukaryota; Metazoa; Chordata; Mammalia; Primates; Hominidae
Source: Rfam by way of RNAcentral
GCCGGGCGUGGUGGCUCAUGCCUGUAAUCCCAGCACUUUGGGAGGCCGAGGUGGGUGGAUCACCUGAGGUCAGGAGUUCGAGACCAGCCUGGCCAACAUGGUGAAACCCCAUCUUUA